This 612-nucleotide long non-coding RNA is filed under the name Pan troglodytes (chimpanzee). RNAcentral describes it as "long non-coding RNA NONPTRT000995". Lineage: Eukaryota; Metazoa; Chordata; Mammalia; Primates; Hominidae. The record is from RNAcentral.
GUCUGCAGGCUGAAUUUAUUCCGUGUUUUUCAGCAGCACGAAUUCAAGAGGGAUGCUUCUGUUUGGGUUUCUGAUCGUGAUUUAUAUUUAUUCAGAGGAAUAACAGAGGGUGGAUCUGUUCCCGGCGCGAGCAUGCUCACAACCAGCCGACUCUCCCAUUAUCCAACUGCCUAGUUUGGUGCUUCAAUGUACAUGGCUAUUCCGUGUGCAUAUGUGUGUAUACAAACACGCAUGCAUGCCUGGAUGGACAUACGUAUGCACAGGUUAUUUUUUAAGGACAAUUCUUUCAAUAAGGUCUUUACCCCUUACUUGAAACAGGUGUUCAUGAAAAAAAUGCACAAAAUCCUGCCUGGCCGGAAUAAUUCAUGAAGAAGGGGCUGGAUCCGUGGGUCAGAGAACACAGGACCAGUUUGCCAUCCCAAGGCCGAAGUCUGGUGUCUCGGAUUUGUUCCUGUGUUGCCCACUCCUGCUGGAUCUUGUCCAGUCGAGGGACAAACGUCCUGAAGAAUGGGAAGAAAGGAGGUUCUGAAGGCACAGAUUCCAAUACAAUGCCAGAGGUUGAGGACACUGGUGCUUGAAGGGAAACUGGCACACUCUGGAGCCCCAAGAAGA